CUAGCGUGCGCAGGCCCUGCACGAGUGCAGAGACUCAACGCAGACGCUGCCCAGACUGCCCUGAAGAGGGCGCUGCUGCUCUGUCUGACAUUCUCCUCAACAGAACCACAUUCUGAAUCCCUGAACAUAAAUAUAGUGAGGCCUAACCAGAAGUAAGAACCCGGAAGCAUAGCGUCAUCCACAUUAGGAAGAUGACAUCUCUGAUGGAAGGAGCGAGGACACUCAUCACAGCAUAUCAAGCUACCCUGGCUUCUACAGAUGAAGCAAUCGUCAUCGUUAUCCUGAUCAUGAUGCCAAGACAGAGAAGAGAGGAAGUGUGUUUCCGGUGUCCUGGAACGCACCCUGUCUGGUUGCCGGGCGAAUUAGCUUGUUGGGA
This is a long non-coding RNA of Oncorhynchus tshawytscha (Chinook salmon), 376 nucleotides long. RefSeq lists it as uncharacterized. Lineage: Eukaryota; Metazoa; Chordata; Actinopteri; Salmoniformes; Salmonidae. The transcript has 4 exons. The record is from RefSeq and is a predicted model, not a curated record.